ACUAAACCUAGCCCAAAAUUACCCUCUUAACUAAACAACUAAGAUAAAAUUAAAACAAAACAUUUAUCCCUGAUUUAAAGCAUAGGAGAUAGAAAUUUAAGAUAUGGCGCUAUAGAGAAAGUACCGCAAGGGUAACGAUGUAAAGAAAAAACUAAAAGUACAGAAAAGCAAAGAUUACCCCUUGUACCUCUUGCAUAAUGAAUUAACUAGUAUAAGACUUAACAAAAUGAAUUUCAGCUAAGCAGCCCGAAACCAGACGAGCUACUCACAAACAGUUUAUCAAGAACUAACUCAUCUAUGUGGCAAAAUAGUGAGAAGAUUUGUUGGUAGUAGGGGUACAUGCCUAACGAGCCUGGUGAUAGCUGGUUGUCCAGAAAAUGAAUCUUAGUUCAGCUUUAAAGGUACCAAAAAUUCAAAUAAACCUUACUGUAACUUUAAAAGUUAGUCUAAAAAGGUACAGCCUUUUAGAAACGGAUACAACCUUGACUAGAGAGUAAAAUCUAACACUACCAUAGUAGGCCUAAAAGCAGCCACCAAUUGAGAAAGCGUUAAAGCUCAACAACAAAAACUGAAUAGAUCCCAAUAACAAACAAUUAACUCCUAGCCUUAACACUGGACUAAUCUAUUAUUGAAUAGAAGUAAUAAUGUUAAUAUGAGUAACAAGAAAAAUUUUCUCCUUGCAUGAGUCUAAGUCAGUACCUGAUAAUACUCUGACCAUUAACAGCUAAUAAAAACAACCCAACAAUAAACAAUUUAUUAAUUAUACUGUUAAUCCAACACAGGAGUGCAUCUAAGGAAAGAUUAAAAGAAGUAAAAGGAACUCGGCAAACACAAACCCCGCCUGUUUACCAAAAACAUCACCUCCAGCAUUGCCUAGUAUUGGAGGCAUUGCCUGCCCA
This 899-nucleotide ribosomal RNA is filed under the name Bos javanicus (banteng). Its description in RNAcentral is "partial 16S ribosomal RNA". The stretch from base 166 to 899 matches the Rfam family "Bacterial large subunit ribosomal RNA", at positions 568 to 1865 of the family's 2925-position model. Lineage: Eukaryota; Metazoa; Chordata; Mammalia; Artiodactyla; Bovidae. The record is from RNAcentral.